AGUGGGGUGGCUGAGAUUAAUAAGUAGGCGAUAGGCUGUAAAUCUAUUUAGGAGCGUUAACGUUGCUCUUCCACUA
This 76-nucleotide transfer RNA is filed under the name Bulbitermes makhamensis. Its description in RNAcentral is "tRNA-Tyr". Lineage: Eukaryota; Metazoa; Arthropoda; Insecta; Blattodea; Termitidae. The record is from RNAcentral.